This 400-nucleotide ribosomal RNA is filed under the name phytoplankton environmental sample. RNAcentral's name for it is "partial small subunit ribosomal RNA". It matches the Rfam family "Eukaryotic small subunit ribosomal RNA", at positions 587 to 980 of the family's 1831-position model. The record is from RNAcentral.
AGCUCCAAUAGCGUAUAUUAAAGUUGUUGCAGUUAAAAAGCUCGUAGUUGAAUUUCAGUCUCUGGUGGUCGGCCCACUCCGCAAGGAGUCGGAGCCUCAGUACCAACCGGAUUCAUCUUUGGGAUGUGCGCGUCUGGCAUUCACUUGUCGGUCAUGUACUCUCCCAUCGUUUACUGUGAGCAAAUUAGAGUGUUCAAAGCAGGCUUAUGCCGUUGAAUACAUUAGCAUGGAAUAAUAAGAUAGGACCUUAGGCGGUCUAUUUUGUUGGUUUGCACGCCUAGGUAAUGAUAAAUAGGGACAGUCGAGGUUGCUUGUAUUCUACAGUAAGGGGUGAAAUCCUUUGAUUUGUAGAAGACAAACUAAAGCGAAAGCAUUCAACAAGGAUGUUUUCAUUAAUCAA